Molecule: ribosomal RNA, 483 nt
Filed under: uncultured bacterium
Lineage: Bacteria
Description: partial 16S ribosomal RNA
Rfam family: Bacterial small subunit ribosomal RNA
Source: RNAcentral
AUUGAACGCUGGCGGCAGGCCUAACACAUGCAAGUCGAGCGGAUGAAGGGAGCUUGCUCCUGGAUUCAGCGGCGGACGGGUGAGUAAUGCCUAGGAUUCUGCCUGGUAGUGGGGGAUAACGUCCGGAAACGGACGCUAAUACCGCAUACGUCCUGAGGGAGAAAGUGGGGGAUCUUCGGACCUCACGCUAUCAGAUGAGCCUAGGUCGGAUUAGCUAGUUGGUGGGGUAAAGGCCUACCAAGGCGACGAUCCGUAACUGGUCUGAGAGGAUGAUCAGUCACCCUGGAAAUGAGACACGGUCCAGACUCCUACGGGAGGCAGCAGUGGGGAAUAUUGGACAAUGGGCGAAAGCCUGAUCCAGCCAUGCCGCGUGUGUGAAGAAGGUCUUCGGAUUGUAAAGCACUUUAAGUUGGGAGGAAGGGCAGUAAGUUAAUACCUUGCUGUUUUGACGUUACCAACAGAAUAAGCACCGGCUAACUUCGU